This 325-nucleotide unclassified non-coding RNA is filed under the name plant metagenome. RNAcentral describes it as "partial contains 5.8S ribosomal RNA, internal transcribed spacer 2, and large subunit ribosomal RNA". The stretch from base 1 to 105 matches the Rfam family "5.8S ribosomal RNA", at positions 50 to 154 of the family's 154-position model. The record is from RNAcentral.
GAAAUGCGAUAAGUAAUGUGAAUUGCAGAGUUUUGUGAAUCAUCGAAUCUUUGAACGCACAUUGCGCCCCUCGGUAUUCCGACGGGCAUGCCUGUCCGAGCGUCGUUGCAACCCAUCGAGUGACAUGUCUCUCGGUCUUGGGCGCCGUCCCCUACGUCCCUUCCCCCGGGGGACGGGGACGGGCCCCAAAGUCCUCGGCGGCCUCGAGCGUGCACCGGAGCGUCUUCGAAAGCAAUCGCUCCGCGCGUCGCGCCCGGGUUCCGGCCCCCCCUCUCUCAUAUCGUCUUGACCUCGGAUCAGGUAGGGCUACCCGCUGAACUUAAGC